This 465-nucleotide ribosomal RNA is filed under the name uncultured bacterium. RNAcentral describes it as "partial 16S ribosomal RNA". It matches the Rfam family "Bacterial small subunit ribosomal RNA", at positions 338 to 795 of the family's 1533-position model. The record is from RNAcentral.
CCUACGGGAGGCAGCAGUAGGGAAUCUUCCACAAUGGGCGAAAGCCUGUUGGGGCAACGCCGCGUGGGUGAAGAAGGUCUUCGGAUCGUAAAACCCUGUUGUUAGAGAAGGAAGUGCGUGAGAGUAACUGUUCACGUUUCGACGGUAUCUAACCAGAAAGCCACGGCUAACUACGUGCCAGCAGCCGCGGUAAUACGUAGGUUGCAAGCGUUAUCCGGAUUUAUUGGGCGUAAGGGGAACGCAGGCGGUCUUUUAAGUCUGAUGUGAAAGCCUUCGGCUUAACCGGAGUAGUGCAUUGGAAACUGGGAGACUUGAGUGCAGAAGAGGAGAGUGGAACUCCAUGUGUAGCGGUGAAAUGCGUAGAUAUAUGGAAGAACACCAGUGGCGAAAGCGGCUCUCUGGUCUGUAACUGACGCUGAGGUUCGAAAGCGUGGGUAGCAAACAGGAUUAGAUACCCCGGUAGUC